AGGAUUAACGCUGGCGGCGUGCCUAACACAUGCAAGUCGAACGAGGUAGCAAUACCUAGUGGCAGACGGGUGAGUAACGCGUGGUCAACCUACCGUUGAGUGGGGGAUAACUAGCCGAAAGGUUAGCUAAUACCGCAUACGAGUCUCGGGGGGCAUCCCUGGGCCUUAAAAGGAGCAAUCCGCUCGAUGACGGGACCGCGUCCCAUUAGCUAGAUGGUGGGGUAAUGGCCUACCAUGGCUCCGAUGGGUAGCUGGUUUGAGAGAGCGACCAGCCACACUGGGACUGAGAAACGGCCCAGACUCCUACGGGAGGCAGCAGUGAGGAAUUUUCCGCAAUGGGCGAAAGCCUGACGGAGCGACGCCGCGUGUGGGAAGAAGGCCUUCGGGUCGUAAACCACUGUCGAAGGGGACGAUAAUGACGGUACCCUUGGAGGAAGCCCCGGCUAACUACGCGCCAGCAGCCGC
This 465-nucleotide ribosomal RNA is filed under the name uncultured bacterium. RNAcentral describes it as "SSU rRNA". It matches the Rfam family "Bacterial small subunit ribosomal RNA", at positions 26 to 518 of the family's 1533-position model. The record is from RNAcentral.